Cyprinus carpio carpio is the source of this 1185-nucleotide long non-coding RNA. Lineage: Eukaryota; Metazoa; Chordata; Actinopteri; Cypriniformes; Cyprinidae. The record is from Ensembl.
UUUUCAAUGAAAGAAACUUUGGCUCGACUGAAUGCAAAGGCUCGAAUGGGCCCUGCUGUAGUGAUUUCAGCACCAGAGUCAGGUCCCAAGAGGAUAUGGAGGGGGGCCGGGAAGGAUUUAACCUCCUGGCCCCUCUAAGGAACCUGAUGACGAGGUCAUGCUUACCUAAAGACUUCCCAUUCACGGGGUCAUGGUACGCAGCAAUAGCGGCAACCUGGACUUUGAGGGUGGAGGGAGACAGCCUUCGCUCCAGCCCUUGCUGCAGAAAGGAAAGCACAACCGCAAUCGGGCAUCUUCGGGGGUCUUCUCGGCGAGAAGAACACCACUCGACGAACAGGUUCCACUUCAAGGCAUAAGCGUGUCUUGUAGACGGUGCUCUUGCCGAAGUGAUGGUGUUCACUACCUCCUGGGGCAGGUCACCUAGAACCUCCGCGUCCCGUCCAGGGACCAGACAUGGAGUUUCCAAAGGUCUGGACGCGGGUGCCAAAUGGUGCCCCGUCUCUGAGUCAGUAGAUCCUUCCUCAGAGGAAUCGGCCAAGGAGGGGCUGUCGCGAGGAGCACUAGUUCGGGGAACCAGGUCCGCGGAGUAGAACAACUGGCAGUGAGCGGUCUCUGGAGAAGCAAACAGGUCUACCUGAGCGGCUCCGAACCGUCUCCAAAUCAGCUGGACCGUCAGGGGAUGGAGUCGCCAUUCUCCCGGGAGCAUUGCUCGAGACAGCUCGUCGGCUGUACGGUUGAGCAGGCCUGGAAUGUGAACGGCACGAAGAGACCUCAGAACCUUCCGACUCCAAAGGAGGAGGUGGCGGGCGAGUUGUGACAUGCGACGGGAGCGCAGACCACCUUGUCGGUUGAUGUACGCAACGGUCGCCGUGUUGUCCGUUCGGACCAGCACAUGCUUGCCUCGUAAGUGACCUUUGAGACGGUUCAAGGCAAGGUGCACUGCUAACAACUCUAGGCAAUUGAUGUGCCACUGCAGCUGCGGGCCCGUCCAAACCCCUGAGACUGCAUGCCCGUUGUACGUGGCCCCCCAGCCGGUGGUGGAGGCAUCCGUGUAAACCACAGCAUGCCUGGAGAUCUGCUCUAGGGGCACCCCUGCCCUGAGAAACGCAAGAUCUGACCACGGGGUGAAGGUUUGGCGACAGGCCGGUGUAACUUGGACCCAGUGAGUGCCACGCUUCCACGCCC